This 77-nucleotide transfer RNA is filed under the name Polaromonas sp. C04. Its description in RNAcentral is "tRNA-Met". It matches the Rfam family "tRNA". From Rfam's summary of the family: Transfer RNA (tRNA) molecules are approximately 80 nucleotides in length. Lineage: Bacteria; Pseudomonadati; Pseudomonadota; Betaproteobacteria; Burkholderiales; Comamonadaceae. The record is from RNAcentral.
GGGGCGUUAGCUCAGUUGGUCAGAGCAGAGGACUCAUAAUCCUUUGGUCGAGUGUUCAAAUCACUCACGCCCUACCA